CCGAACCUGGUUUCUGCCAAAGGGCAGAAACUAGGUUCAAACGAACCUCUUGCCUCCCAAAACCUCUAAUCAUGCAUAAACUUGCUCUACAACAUGCAUACUUCACAUACAUUACACCUAGGGGUCUCAAACUAUCAUAUACCCCAUCUACAACACUUCCAUCAACAAAAACAAGCUACAUUGUUCAUCAAAGCAUCAAAACCCAUAAACUCAAUAUAUAUUCCCUAACAUGCAUUUCUACCCAUAGAUCUUGCAUAAAACUUAUUUAAAACACAUAAGGAGCUUAAGAUCGGCUCUUACCUCUUGAAGAUCGAGAGGGAGACGACCUAAACUUGGAGAUCCACGAAAAUGAGCUCCUGAGUUCCCAAAGCUCCAAAACUUGGUUUGAAUGCUCAAAACUUGCAAUGUGAGUUUAAAACUUAAGAAAAAUGGAAGAGAUUUGGAGGAAGAGCACAAGAUUUGUAAAGGGAAGGUUGGAAGCUUGCUGUGGCCGAAAAUGGGAGAAAGCUCACCCAUUUCGGCUAAGUGCCCCUUUUAUAGGUGGCUGGCCAGGCCACGUUCGGGGGCCGAACAUGCCUCCGCAUCCAUGCAAUGUUCGGCGGCCGAACGUGAGUUUCGGCGGCCGAACCUGGACUUCCCUCGCCUAUGCUUUCGGGGGCCUAACG
RNAcentral lists this long non-coding RNA (665 nucleotides) under Manihot esculenta (cassava). RNAcentral describes it as "long non-coding RNA (MESC_LNC000032)". Lineage: Eukaryota; Viridiplantae; Streptophyta; Magnoliopsida; Malpighiales; Euphorbiaceae. The record is from RNAcentral.